UUUCAUUUCAUCAUUUCACUGUUUAUCGUCAUAUUUUGGAUUCAUUUGGAUUUCGUUUGCUGUAUUUUGUGAACUUUAUAAACUUUACCACACUGCAAAGUGAUUAUUUAAGGAAAUUAUUAUUGGAGACACCAGAUGUUUGGAGAAAGAUAUUUAUUGAAGCUGAAAAUAAUUGGGGAUUUAGAUCCAUAUACAAUUCAGUCAAAAUUGGAUUUUACCAUAAAGUGCAUUCCACCAAAUUACUAUUAUAGAUAUUAUAGAUGAAAGCAUACAAAAGCCUUCAGGCACAUAAAUAUUUUACAGCUGGAUUUGUUUUUAAAGUUGGAGUAAAGUUGGAAGUCACAAGCAACAACUUCGUAAGUACCUACCUACAAGAAUAUUGAGGAAAUCCAGCUCCUGGAUACUACUGGGCAAACUAGAAGAUUGAAGAGGACAAAGCCUUUUGAACUAGUUUGAGUGAUAGUGAAAAGCAGAGCAUAAUGCUUGUGUGCAUGUGUAUGUUAGAAUAGUGCGGUUAGAAAAGCAGAGCAUAGUGCUUGUGUGCCUGUUAGAUUAGAGAAGAGACGCUAUGGGUAAGCUCUUCAUUUUAAGGAACAGUAGUAAUUUAGGUUAAAUUAAAAUUGCUCAUUGGUCAGACUUAUGACCAGAUUGUAAUUCUAAUGAACAAUUCAAUACAAUGAAUCGUCAUCGUAGUGAUGAUUAUGGAAAAAAAUAUAUGACAAGAUUUUGUGCAAUAAAAAUGUUUAUAUUUA
Molecule: long non-coding RNA, 752 nt
Organism: Diabrotica virgifera virgifera (western corn rootworm)
Lineage: Eukaryota; Metazoa; Arthropoda; Insecta; Coleoptera; Chrysomelidae
Exons: 2
Source: RefSeq, a predicted model, not a curated record